Molecule: long non-coding RNA, 283 nt
Organism: Phyllostomus discolor (pale spear-nosed bat)
Lineage: Eukaryota; Metazoa; Chordata; Mammalia; Chiroptera; Phyllostomidae
Exons: 4
Source: RefSeq, a predicted model, not a curated record
CCAGCAAAAAUUGACUUUUGACAGAUAGUCAGGUCCUAGGCCAGUAUCUUUGCCUAACAAAGGUCAAUCUUUACCUUAACUAAGCCUGUCUAUUGUCUUUUUGCAUCUAGGAUAACAUACCUUUGGAGUAUCAAGGUAACUUCCUUUUUCCCAAAACCCUGGGGCACAAGCUGAGACCACAAGAAUCUUCUCAUUGUUAUUGUUAUCAUGUUAAUUGUUGACUGUUAACUAUCCCUCACCCACCUGUGUAAAAAAAGUACGGGACUAUCAUUUUACUUUUUGU